GAAACUCGCCUAUAUGAAGUCGGAAUUGCUAGUAAUCGCAGAUCAGCAUGCUGCGGUGAAUACGUUCCCGGGCCUUGUACACACCGCCCGUCACACCAUGAGAGUCGAUAACACCCGAAGCCUGUAGUCUAACCAUAAGGGGGACGCAGUCGAAGGUGGGAUUGAUAAUUAGGGUGAAGUCGUAACAAGGUAUC
Molecule: ribosomal RNA, 194 nt
Filed under: uncultured bacterium
Lineage: Bacteria
Description: partial 16S ribosomal RNA
Rfam family: Bacterial small subunit ribosomal RNA
Source: RNAcentral